GCCGCCGUAGCUCAGUUGGCCAGAGCAAUCGCUUCGUAAGCGAUAGGUCACCGGUUCGAAUCCGGUCGGCGGCUCCA
This 77-nucleotide transfer RNA is filed under the name Candidatus Saccharibacteria bacterium QS_5_54_17. Its description in RNAcentral is "tRNA-Thr". It matches the Rfam family "tRNA". Rfam says of the family: Transfer RNA (tRNA) molecules are approximately 80 nucleotides in length. Their secondary structure includes four short double-helical elements and three loops (D, anti-codon, and T loops). Further hydrogen bonds mediate the characteristic L-shaped molecular structure. tRNAs have two regions of fundamental functional importance: the anti-codon, which is responsible for specific mRNA codon recognition, and the 3' end, to which the tRNAs corresponding amino acid is attached (by aminoacyl-tRNA synthetases). tRNAs cope with the degeneracy of the genetic code in two manners: having more than one tRNA (with a specific anti-codon) for a particular amino acid; and 'wobble' base-pairing, i.e. permitting non-standard base-pairing at the 3rd anti-codon position. The record is from RNAcentral. Lineage: Bacteria; Candidatus Saccharimonadota.